GAUGAACGCUAGCUACAGGCUUAACACAUGCAAGUCGAGGGGUAACGAGAGGGAAGCUUGCUUUCCUUGUCGACGACCGGCGCACGGGUGAGUAACGCGUAUCCAACCUGCCCCCAACUAAGGAAUAACCUUGCGAAAGUAAGACUAAUACCUUAUAAUUUCCUCAGAUGACAUCUGACGAGGAAUAAAGAUUUAUCGGUUGUGGAUGGGGAUGCGUCUGAUUAGCUUGUUGGCGGGGUAACGGCCCACCAAGGCAACGAUCAGUAGGGGUUCUGAGAGGAAGGUACCCCACAUUGGAACUGAGACACGGUCCAAACUCCUACGGGAGGCAGCAGUGAGGAAUAUUGGUCAAUGGGCGGAAGCCUGAACCAGCCAAGUAGCGUGCAGGAUGACGGCCCUAUGGGUUGUAAUCUGCUUUUAUACAGGAAUAAAGUUAGCCACGUGUGGUUAUUUGUAGGUACUGUAUGAAUAAGGACCGGCUAAUUCCGUGCCAGCCGCCGCAGUAA
RNAcentral lists this ribosomal RNA (506 nucleotides) under uncultured bacterium. RNAcentral describes it as "partial 16S ribosomal RNA". It matches the Rfam family "Bacterial small subunit ribosomal RNA", at positions 28 to 523 of the family's 1533-position model. The record is from RNAcentral.